GACGAACGCUGGCGGCGUGCUUAACACAUGCAAGUCGAACGGCAAGGCCCUGAUUGCGUGCGGUGCUCGAGUGGCGAACGGGUGAGUAAGACGUGAGUAACCUGCCCUUGACUUUGGGAUAACUUAAGGAAACUGGGGCUAAUACCGGAUAGGAGCUCCUGCUGCGUGGAGGGGGGGGGAACGUUUCGGCGGUUGGGGUUGGACUAGCGGCUUAUCAGCUUGUUGGUGGGGUAGUGGCUUACCAAGGCUUUGGCGGGUAGGCGGCCCGAGAGGGUGACCGGCCACCGUGCUCCUGCGAGAGGGCCCAGACUCCUACGUUAGGCAGUAGUGGGGAAUCUUGCACAGUGGGCCGAAGCCUGUUGCAGCAACGCCGCGGUCGUGAUGACGUCUUUCUGGUUGUGAACCGCUUUCGCCUGUGACGAAGCGUUAGUGACGGUAACGGGUAAAGAAGCACCGGCUAACUACGUG
Molecule: ribosomal RNA, 468 nt
Filed under: uncultured bacterium
Lineage: Bacteria
Description: partial 16S ribosomal RNA
Rfam family: Bacterial small subunit ribosomal RNA
Source: RNAcentral